This is a long non-coding RNA of Cimex lectularius (bed bug), 516 nucleotides long. RefSeq lists it as uncharacterized. NCBI's taxonomy places the organism in Eukaryota, Metazoa, Arthropoda, Insecta, Hemiptera, Cimicidae. The transcript is spliced from 3 exons. The record is from RefSeq and is a predicted model, not a curated record.
GUCAUUUCCAGGAGAAGUUGUCCAUUGAAGACUUCACACUGCAACUUCGCCAUUUUCACUGAGAUGGUCUCGGGGCAAUUUUAGCUUCAAUCGUCUUGGAGGAUUUACUGAUAAAGUUGGUAAGGUAACAAAGCUGUUGUACCGGUUUACGACUUACUGGUGGCAGAUACUUUAACGCAAGUGUCCGGAAGAUUUUGUUCUGCUUGUUGUGUCCUGCUUUCUUAAGAAGGUCGUAUUGAUGGUGUAGUUCUUCUUGGUUUUUGGAACCUUCAGAAGAAAACUUUCGAAACCAAACUAGACAAGAAACUCAAGACAGAUGAUGUGAGGUGGAGGCCUUUUAGUUCCACAGAGCUAUAAGUAUAGCUAAUAAAUGAAAUACCAGCCUGGAAAAAGAAGGAGUAUUAGAUUAGUGUUAUUAAUGGAUGGACUUUGUUCUAGGCAGUGUGUAUUAUUCUGUGCGCAAUUGUCCGUAAUUGUAAAUUAAAAACGAAACUAAUUACACUUGUCGUUUCUACC